RNAcentral lists this ribosomal RNA (254 nucleotides) under uncultured bacterium. RNAcentral describes it as "partial 16S ribosomal RNA". It matches the Rfam family "Bacterial small subunit ribosomal RNA", at positions 524 to 776 of the family's 1533-position model. The record is from RNAcentral.
UACAUAGGUCCCAAGCGUUGUCCGAAGUUACUGGGCGUAAAGCGCGCGUAGGCGGGAAAUUAAGUGAGAAGUGAAAGGCUGGGGCUUAACCCCAUGCAGUGCUCCUCAUACUGGUUUUCUUGAGGGUGGUAGAGAGAAGUGGAAUGGCUGGUGUAGCGGUGAAAUGCGUAGAUAUCAGUCGGAACACCAGUGGCGAAGGCGGCUUCUUGGGCCAUUACUGACGCUGAGGCGCGAAAGCCAGGGGAGCGAACGGG